UACGUAGGCAGCAAGCGUUGUUCGGAAUUACUGGGCGUAAAGAGUGUGUAGGCGGUGCUCUAAGUUCGGUGUGAAAUCUCCCGGCUUAACUGGGAGGGUGCGCCGGAAACUGGAGUGCUUGAGCGCGGGAGAGGAAAGCGGAAUUCCUGGUGUAGCGGUGAAAUGCGUAGAUAUCAGGAGGAACACCUGUGGUGUAGACGGCUUUCUGGACCGUAGCUGACGCUGAGGUUCGAAAGCUAAGGUAGCGAACAGG
This 253-nucleotide ribosomal RNA is filed under the name uncultured bacterium. RNAcentral describes it as "partial 16S ribosomal RNA". It matches the Rfam family "Bacterial small subunit ribosomal RNA", at positions 524 to 776 of the family's 1533-position model. The record is from RNAcentral.